Molecule: long non-coding RNA, 950 nt
Organism: Photinus pyralis (common eastern firefly)
Lineage: Eukaryota; Metazoa; Arthropoda; Insecta; Coleoptera; Lampyridae
Exons: 2
Source: RefSeq, a predicted model, not a curated record
ACCUCCAGGGUGGUUUGGAAAUCUUGUCCAUAUAAUAAUGAUACGAAAUACAACUUGUUGCCUACUAUUUUUAUUAAUAUCACCUUAUUAUCAAUAUAUAGGUACUCGUACUUACAUUUACAAAAAUUAGAAAUGAAUUAGCAAAGUAAAAGUACAAUACCUGCAAAUUACUUUUGUAGUACGUACACUCGAGUAUAUUAAUGAUAAUGUUAUAUUAAUAAAAAUUGAACCUACAUAAUAGUAUUGCGUACAAUUAUUAUAUUUUAAACCCAAUAGCAAUCAAUAGAUUAUAUUAUUUAUUAGCAGAACAGCGCGAAUUAAAGAACUUUUGGACCCAGAAGCGCUAAAAAUUCUCAGGCAGUUUGGCUCCUAGACAAAAAGGUAUUGUUAAAUUUCAAAGUGCUCGUUAUCGUUUCAGACGCACUUAGGUUUUUUAAAUUUAAAAUGCAAUAAUGCAAAUAAAUAUGAUAAGCUUAAAUUAGAGCAAAAUGCUGACAUUGACAUGGAGACAUUGUACGGAAAAAAUAUUUUUUUAAAGGCAUUCUUUUUAUUGAAAUUAAGAUAACACAAGUGAGUCACCUACAUACAUGCAGGGACACACAUCUCGCAAGCACAGGAAACGCAAAUUUUCAUAGAUCCCAUUGUUAUUUGAUGAUACUGAGUUACUGUUUGCUAAUCAACCUUCAUGAGUGCUGAAUCAGAGAUUUUCCUUUAAUUUUAAACACGCACGUGGUACAUCGGUGAUAUCACUGCUUUUUUUGUGGCGCACCUUCGUUCGGACACUAGAUCUGAGAGCAACGCCACAAAGCAGAUGGUUCCGUUUCGGCCGGCGCACGACUGCCCGACAAACAUUUGUAUAUUCCUUAACAAUGUUUCAUUUUCUUGCUUAUGUUAUAAUAUCAAUUGUGUUUAUACUUUCUUUCUUUCUUUCAAUAAAUGUAUCAGCUACA